CAAUAGCGUAUAUUAAAGUUGUUGCAGUUAAAAAGCUCGUAGUUGGAUUUCGGGGCAGCCUGGCUGGUCCGCCGCAAGGCGAGUACUGGUCAGCCGCCCUUCCUCUCGAAAGCCCCGACUGCUCUUCGUUGCAGUGGUCGGGUAGUUCGGGACGUUUACUUUGAAAAAAUUAGAGUGUUCAAGGCAGGCCUACGCCUGAAAACAUUAGCAUGGAAUAAUGGAAGAGGACCUCGGUCCUAUUUUGUUGGUUUCCAGGGCCGAAGUAAUGAUUAAGAGGGACAGUUGGGGGCAUUCGUAUUUAAUUGUCAGAGGUGAAAUUCUCGGAUUUAUGAAAGACGAACAACUGCGAAAGCAUUUGCCAAGGAUGUUUUCAUUAA
RNAcentral lists this ribosomal RNA (377 nucleotides) under uncultured eukaryote. Its description in RNAcentral is "partial 18S ribosomal RNA". It matches the Rfam family "Eukaryotic small subunit ribosomal RNA", at positions 592 to 976 of the family's 1831-position model. The record is from RNAcentral.